This 84-nucleotide small nucleolar RNA is filed under the name Amborella trichopoda. The record is from RNAcentral. Lineage: Eukaryota; Viridiplantae; Streptophyta; Magnoliopsida; Amborellales; Amborellaceae.
CAGAAUGAUGCAAAACGGGAGCUGAUCCAGACUGAGCAGCAAAUGAAGAUGUGAAAGAACGGCCUGUACUUGAAGAGUCUGGAA